This 491-nucleotide ribosomal RNA is filed under the name uncultured bacterium. RNAcentral describes it as "partial 16S ribosomal RNA". It matches the Rfam family "Bacterial small subunit ribosomal RNA", at positions 29 to 507 of the family's 1533-position model. The record is from RNAcentral.
GUGAACGCUGGCGGUAGGCCUAACACAUGCAAGUCGAACGGCAGCACAGUAAGAGCUUGCUCUUACGGGUGGCGAGUGGCGGACGGGUGAGGAAUACAUCGGAAUCUACUUUUUCGUGGGGGAUAACGUAGGGAAACUUACGCUAAUACCGCAUACGACCUACGGGUGAAAGCAGGGGAUCUUCGGACCUUGCGCGAUUGAAUGAGCCGAUGUCGGAUUAGCUAGUUGGCGGGGUAAAGGCCCACCAAGGCGACGAUCCGUAGCUGGUCUGAGAGGAUGAGCAGCCACCCUGGAACUGGGACACGGUCCCGACUCCUACGGGAGGCAGCAGUGGGGAAUAUUGGACAAUGGGCGCAAGCCUGAUCCAGCCAUACCGCGUGGGUGAAGAAGGCCUUCGGGUUGUAAAGCCCUUUUGUUGGGAAAGAAAAGCAGCAGGUUAAUACCCCGCUGUUCUGACGGUACCCAAAGAAUAAGCACCGGCUAACUUCGUG